AUAACCUGAGGAUCUUGUUAAAAUGCAGAUUCUGACUCAAGAUCUGGGUAGGGAUCUGAGAGUCUGCAUUUCUAGCAAGUUCCCUGGUGGUGCCAA
Ovis aries (sheep) is the source of this 96-nucleotide microRNA precursor. It matches the Rfam family "mir-544 microRNA precursor family". Lineage: Eukaryota; Metazoa; Chordata; Mammalia; Artiodactyla; Bovidae. The record is from Rfam.